GCGUCGGUGGUGCAAUGGUUAGCAUACGCUCCCAGAAGAGUGAGAUCUGGGUUCGAGUGCCGGCUGACGAA
Molecule: non-coding RNA, 71 nt
Organism: Parelaphostrongylus tenuis
Lineage: Eukaryota; Metazoa; Nematoda; Chromadorea; Rhabditida; Metastrongylidae
Source: the annotation of a GenBank genome assembly